Molecule: ribosomal RNA, 253 nt
Filed under: uncultured bacterium
Lineage: Bacteria
Description: partial 16S ribosomal RNA
Rfam family: Bacterial small subunit ribosomal RNA
Source: RNAcentral
UACGUAGGUGGCAAGCGUUGUCCGGAUUUACUGGGCGUAAAGAGCGCGCAGGCGGUCGUUCAAGUCGCGUGUGAAAGCCCCCGGCUCAACUGGGGAGGGUCACGCGAUACUGAUCGACUCGAAGGCAGGAGAGGGAAGUGGAAUUCCCGGUGUAGUGGUGAAAUGCGUAGAUAUCAGGAGGAACACCUGUGGCGAAAGCGGCUCACUGGACCACAACUGACGCUGAGGCGCGAAAGCUAGGGGAGCAAACAGG